UACGGAGGGUGCAAGCGUUAUCCGGAUUUACUGGGUUUAAAGGGUGCGCAGGCGGAUAUAUAAGUCAGUGGUGAAAUCUCUAGGCUUAACCUGGAAAUUGCCGUUGAUACUAUAUAUCUUGAAUGUUGUGGAGGUAAGCAGAAUAUGUCAUGUAGCGGUGAAAUGCUUAGAUAUGACAUAGAAUACCUAUUGCGAAGGCAGCUUACUACGCAGAUAUUGACGCUCAUGCACGAAAGCGUGGGGAUCAAACAGGA
RNAcentral lists this ribosomal RNA (254 nucleotides) under uncultured bacterium. RNAcentral describes it as "partial 16S ribosomal RNA". It matches the Rfam family "Bacterial small subunit ribosomal RNA", at positions 524 to 777 of the family's 1533-position model. The record is from RNAcentral.